GACGAACGCUGGCGGCGUGCUUAACACAUGCAAGUCGAACGGAAAGGCCCUGCUUUUGUGGGGUGCUCGAGUGGCGAACGGGUGAGUAACACGUGAGUAACCUGCCCUUGACUUUGGGAUAACUUCAGGAAACUGGGGCUAAUACCGGAUAGGAGCUCCUGCUGCAUGGUGGGGGUUGGAAAGUUUCGGCGGUUGGGGAUGGACUCGCGGCUUAUCAGCUUGUUGGUGGGGUAGUGGCUUACCAAGGCUUUGACGGGUAGCCGGCCUGAGAGGGUGACCGGCGACAUUGGGACUGAGAUACGGCCCAGACUCCUACGGGAGGCAGCAGUGGGGAAUAUUGCACAAUGGGCGGAAGCCUGAUGAAGCAACGCCGCGUGCGGGAUGAAGGCCUUCGGGUUGUAAACCGCUUUCGCCUGUGACGAAGCGUGAGUGACGGUAAUGGGUAAAGAAGCACCGGCUAACUACGUG
RNAcentral lists this ribosomal RNA (468 nucleotides) under uncultured bacterium. RNAcentral's name for it is "partial 16S ribosomal RNA". It matches the Rfam family "Bacterial small subunit ribosomal RNA", at positions 28 to 507 of the family's 1533-position model. The record is from RNAcentral.